GACGAACGCUGGCGGCGUGCCUAAUACAUGCAAGUAGAACGCUGAAGACUUUAGCUUGCUAAAGUUGGAAGAGUUGCGAACGGGUGAGUAACGCGUAGGUAACCUGCCUACUAGCGGGGGAUAACUAUUGGAAACGAUAGCUAAUACCGCAUAACAGCAUUUAACCCAUGUUAGAUGCUUGAAAGGAGCAAUUGCUUCACUAGUAGAUGGACCUGCGUUGUAUUAGCUAGUUGGUGAGGUAACGGCUCACCAAGGCGACGAUACAUAGCCGACCUGAGAGGGUGAUCGGCCACACUGGGACUGAGACACGGCCCAGACUCCUACGGGAGGCAGCAGUAGGGAAUCUUCGGCAAUGGGGGCAACCCUGACCGAGCAACGCCGCGUGAGUGAAGAAGGUUUUCGGAUCGUAAAGCUCUGUUGUAAGAGAAGAACGUGUGUGAGAGUGGAAAGUUCACACAGUGACGGUAACUUACCAGAAAGGGACGG
This 486-nucleotide ribosomal RNA is filed under the name uncultured bacterium. RNAcentral describes it as "bacterial SSU rRNA". It matches the Rfam family "Bacterial small subunit ribosomal RNA", at positions 28 to 496 of the family's 1533-position model. The record is from RNAcentral.